Molecule: ribosomal RNA, 253 nt
Filed under: uncultured bacterium
Lineage: Bacteria
Description: partial 16S ribosomal RNA
Rfam family: Bacterial small subunit ribosomal RNA
Source: RNAcentral
UACGAAGGGGGCUAGCGUUGCUCGGAAUCACUGGGCAUAAAGCGCACGUAGGCGGCUUCUUAAGUCAGGGGUGAAAUCCUGGAGCUCAACUCCAGAACUGCCUUUGAUACUGAGAAGCUUGAGUCCGGGAGAGGUGAGUGGAACUGCGAGUGUAGAGGUGAAAUUCGUAGAUAUUCGCAAGAACACCAGUGGCGAAGGCGGCUCACUGGCCCGGUACUGACGCUGAGGUGCGAAAGCGUGGGGAGCAAACAGG